CAAGCGGUGGAGCAUGUGGUUUAAUUCGACGCAACGCGAAGAACCUUACCAGGGCUUGACAUCCCUCGCUAUUCGUAGAAAUAUGGAGUUCCAUGCUUCGGUAUGGACGAGGAGACAGGUGGUGCAUGGUUGUCGUCAGCUCGUGUCGUGAGAUGUUGGGUUAAGUCCCGCAACGAGCGCAACCCCUACUUUUAGUUGCCAGCAAUAAGAUGGGCACUCUAAAGGAACUGCCGGUGACAAACCGGAGGAAGGUGGGAUGACGUCAAAUCAUCAUGCCCUUUAUGUUCUGGGCUACACACGUGCUACAAUGGCCGGUACAGAGGGCGGCGAAGGAGUGAUCCGGAGCGAAUCCCAAAAAGCCGGUCUCAGUUCGGAUUGCAGGCUGCAACUCGCCUGCAUGAAGUCGGAAUCGCUAGUAAUCGCGAGUCAGCAUAUCGCGGUGAAUACGUUCCCGGGUCUU
This 460-nucleotide ribosomal RNA is filed under the name uncultured Peptococcaceae bacterium. Its description in RNAcentral is "bacterial SSU rRNA". It matches the Rfam family "Bacterial small subunit ribosomal RNA", at positions 926 to 1382 of the family's 1533-position model. The record is from RNAcentral. Lineage: Bacteria; Bacillati; Bacillota; Clostridia; Eubacteriales; Peptococcaceae.